This 560-nucleotide long non-coding RNA is filed under the name Ananas comosus (pineapple). RNAcentral's name for it is "long non-coding RNA (ACOM_LNC040820)". Lineage: Eukaryota; Viridiplantae; Streptophyta; Magnoliopsida; Poales; Bromeliaceae. The record is from RNAcentral.
UAAUAGUUAUUUUCGAUAGUGGAACAUUCGAUUCGGCGGUCGAAUUUACUUAACGUAAUUAACAAUAUUAAAAUUAUCUAAAAAUUAAAAUUUAUAAUUUUUUUAACUUUAUGUUUCUUCAAAUAUAUAUGUUGGCGGCUUAAAAGGGCCAGUAUUUUGUCCUAUGACGGAAAGCUAGAUAGGCUAGGCCUAGUCUCAUUCGAAAUGACAGGAGGUUGCGUUAGAGCGAGUUAUGUUCGAAAUGGCAGGAUGCUGAUUGGGUCAAAUUACAAUUGAAAUUCGUAUGCGCUGUAUCUAUAUGUUUUAAGUAAAUUGAUUGUAUUUUUUUAACAGCUCGAGUUUUUGGAAUUAACAUAUAGCAUUAGACUACAAUACUUUCGAAAGUACGUAGACAUAUAUAUUUAUAAGUUAUUUUGGAUAAUUGGACAUUCGAUUCGACGAUCGGUUUUAUUAGAUAAAAUCUGCAAUAUUAAAACUAUCGAAAAACUAAAUUUUAUAAUUUUUAACUUUAUUUGACUAGUAAACGCAUAGACUUUACUAAAUAUGUCGUAUUCAUAAAC